Molecule: small nuclear RNA, 108 nt
Organism: Suncus etruscus (white-toothed pygmy shrew)
Lineage: Eukaryota; Metazoa; Chordata; Mammalia; Eulipotyphla; Soricidae
Source: RefSeq, a predicted model, not a curated record
GUGCUCGCUUCAGCAGCACAUAGACUAAAAACUGGAACAAUACAGUGAAGAUUAGCAUGGCCCCUGCACAAGGAUGACACGCAAAAUAGGAGGUAGCAAUAUACGUAG